This 2659-nucleotide long non-coding RNA is filed under the name Sorghum bicolor (sorghum). RNAcentral's name for it is "long non-coding RNA (SBIC_LNC001051)". Lineage: Eukaryota; Viridiplantae; Streptophyta; Magnoliopsida; Poales; Poaceae. The record is from RNAcentral.
UUAGAGUAAACUGUCAAGAACUAAAACUUACUUACUUUACCUUUCACCAUGGGACUUGUAACCGUCACUUCUGUCUUGAGUAGUUAAAAGAUAGAACAGUCUAACCAAGUGCCAUGUCUCUUAUUCUUGAUCAGCUAUAGCUCUAGAGUUUUUGUAGAUUUUCAAAUAAUACUCAGAGAUUCCUUGUAUGACUCUCUAAAUCUCUCUUUUGUGGUAUUUCUGGAUCCUUACCAAGGCAGUGAUGGUAUAUGCCUUCUCUCAAGAUAUGUGGUAUUUGUGGUAUAAGGCAUAGUGACAUUGCCUUCUCUCUCACCCUACUCUAAUAAGGCUUUAAUAUCUGGAGCUCAUAGGUGGGAGAUAAAGUAUACAUACUUACAAGACAUUUAUUGUAUAGUCAAACCAUGGAUCCAGAGAAACAAGUCAAUAAGUCAAAUCAAGAUGUGCAUGUGUGGCGAAUGAAUGGUGUAUGGUGAUGAUGGUGAUAACAAUGGUGGAAGUCUAAUUCUACUUUUGCUCUUUUGAGGGGAUUCAUACCUUCCUUGCUUUUUGAAACUUUAUGAGGAGAAUGAGAUGCUGUUCUUUUUCUUUCCUCUCAGGUGGGUAUCUUGUACCCCUAAUUCUACUGUCGGACACUUGUCCAUUUUUACCUCUCGUCUCACUUUUUCUUUCUUUCGAGGUUCCGGGAACUUGCCCCUUUUUAUUUGCUCGUUUAUUUUUUAUUUUUUUUCUUUUCUUCUCUUUUCUCUCUUUUUUUCAGAGCACUCAUCUCUUGAGAUAAUAUAGCAAGUGGUAGUAGCAAGAUAACUUGAGCAUUUAUUUCACAAGGGAAAACAGAAAUAUUUUUGGCUAUUCUCUCCCGGAUUAGGAGUAGAAUAUUUUUGGGUGGUUCUGGAGAUGGAUGUGGAUGGUACUUCCGGAGUAGAAGUAGCAUAUAUGAGUGAAUGUGCAAGUGAAAUCUUGAUUUAACCACAUGACAAGCUCCUAAGGGUCUACACAGCUUGACCACACUCAAUGCUCAUAAGCAGUAAAUAGUAAAUGUGUGGCUCAAAAUCUAGCAAGCAUGUAUAUCUAGCUGUGGUAGGAAUUUAAACUCUCAUCAUACAGGAACUCAUCAUGCAACAUUUUAAAGAUUUUUCAAAGAUAAAAUUUUCCAAAAUUCUAGCAUCUCUAGAAACAGAUAAACAGCAGCUCAACCUUCCCAUAUCAUAUCCGUUAACAACUUAGAUUUCAGAUCAAGUUUUCAUCCCACAAGUUUAGAUCUAGAGCAAGCUUUAAAUUAUAACAGUUAUAUCUAAACUUGAGACAGAACUUCAAAUUUGCAAAUUAGGCAGAGCAACUAUUCAUCAUAUCCAUGCUAGAGUUUUAUUAUUAAGAUUCAGAUUAGCAUAGCCACUUUAUUUAUUUAUUAAACACACUAAGCAAAAGAUAUAUAUAUAGGCACGAAAUAUUUAUUUGGUUUUUCAUAGUUUAUGUAUUUUAAUAUUCUAAUAUAAUAUAAGUAUAAAGAUAGGUAGAAAUACUUAGCGAGAUAAAUGGGGGUGCUCUCCCCCAAGCUGAAUUUUGACGUAAUUUCUCUUGAUGUAGCUAGCAGGUGGCAGAGGUGUAUUUGAAAGUCAGCAGCAUUCUGACAGCGAUUAGAAUGUCCUCCGUCUGCUAGUCUUCUUGAUUCUUAAAUUCUGUGGAACUCAAAUAGACAACAAAGCUUGUGGAACUAAUUAAGUGUUAGCAUAAAUAUCUAGCCUUCAUCAUGUUGAGCUUCCUCAAUAAAUAUUACUCCCUAUUUUUAUAUUUUUAUUUUAUAAAGCAGAAAAGAAAUAUUUAUUUUAUUUUUAUGCCACCACAGUGAAGGUACUUAUGGGUUUUAUGUCACUCGUAUACUCACAUGGGGCUUAGUAUUUUUUAACAUUUUUAUUUUCUUUUCAAGAUAGCAUGACUAACUAACAAGCCAUUUAAGGAAAAAUGCAGAAAGGAUAAAUAUGGAUAACUACCGAUUUUACCUUUCGGCGAGGGUUCAAUGUUUUAAGUCUUCUGAACAAGACUUCUCACCGUGUUCAUUCUUUAGGUGCGUCAUUUGAUUCAGGUGUGGACCUUGACGUCUGCACCUCUUGAAGUGUGGUGUUGGCAAUAUCUUGCUCAGUGUGUUUGUGCUCUUAGAUCUAGGUCUUUCACUUGGUGGAGUCUGGGAGUUGUAAAACUCCUCCAUAUUUUGCUCGAAGUGUACCUGCUCAUAGAGACAAGGCAGAGAUCAAGUGCAUGGGCCCUGUUGGUGGAAAACACCAACAGAACCAAAUAAGUGUAGUUGUUCUUCUCUAACCUUAAGCAUAGUGAGCAAGACAAAGUUGAUGGAUGAUAAGUUCAUGAGUGUAGCACUUAUAACAUUUGUCUGAUCAGAUCGCUCGACCUAAUGGAAAGAUAAUACAUCUAUGUAUAUGUCUUUUUCUUUGUAUCUCUCAAUGAUUGAAUGUGUAACAUUUUAGCUCAUAUGAUUAGGAGUGUGAGAUCAUGGAGGUAGUACUAAGAACAAGGAUUAAAGGACUAAACAUGUUGAAUCAGUUGGGUUGGUUAAUCUAGAGUUGUAAAUCAUACAUGUUUGUCUCUUUUAUUUAUAUGUACCCUAGAACCAAGGAGAAGCUUAUAAAAGUGAUAGUCAAGUACCUUA